RNAcentral lists this ribosomal RNA (520 nucleotides) under uncultured bacterium. RNAcentral's name for it is "bacterial SSU rRNA". It matches the Rfam family "Bacterial small subunit ribosomal RNA", at positions 337 to 873 of the family's 1533-position model. The record is from RNAcentral.
UCCUACGGGAGGCAGCAGUGGGGGAUAUUGCACAAUGGGGGAAACCCUGAUGCAGCGACGCCGCGUGGAGGAAGAAGGUUUUCGGAUUGUAAACUCCUGUCGUUAGGGACGAUAAUGACGGUACCUAACAAGAAAGCACCGGCUAACUACGUGCCAGCAGCCGCGGUAAAACGUAGGGUGCAAGCGUUGUCCGGAAUUACUGGGUGUAAAGGGAGCGCAGGCGGACCGGCAAGUUGGAAGUGAAAACUAUGGGCUCAACCCAUAAAUUGCUUUCAAAACUGCUGGCCUUGAGUAGUGCAGAGGUAGGUGGAAUUCCCGGUGUAGCGGUGGAAUGCGUAGAUAUCGGGAGGAACACCAGUGGCGAAGGCGACCUACUGGGCACCAACUGACGCUGAGGCUCGAAAGCAUGGGUAGCAAACAGGAUUAGAUACCCUGGUAGUCCAUGCCGUAAACGAUGAUUACUAGGUGUUGGAGGAUUGACCCCUUCAGUGCCGCAGUUAACACAAUAAGUAAUCCACCA